RNAcentral lists this ribosomal RNA (509 nucleotides) under uncultured bacterium. RNAcentral describes it as "bacterial SSU rRNA". It matches the Rfam family "Bacterial small subunit ribosomal RNA", at positions 9 to 507 of the family's 1533-position model. The record is from RNAcentral.
AGGUUUGAUCCUGGCUCAGAGUGAACGCUGGCGGCAGGCCUAAUACAUGCAAGUCGAACGGCAGCACAGCAGAGCUUGCUCUGUGGGUGGCGAGUGGCGGACGGGUGAGGAAUACGUGGGAAUCUGCCCAGUCGUGGGGGAUAACGUAGGGAAACUUACGCUAAUACCGCAUGCGCCCUUCGGGGGAAAGCCGGGGACCUUCGGGCCUGGCGCGAUUGGAUGAGCCCACGUCGGAUUAGCUAGUUGGCGGGGUAAAGGCCCACCAAGGCGACGAUCCGUAGCUGGUCUGAGAGGAUGAUCAGCCACACUGGAACUGAGACACGGUCCAGACUCCUACGGGAGGCAGCAGUAGGGAAUAUUGGACAAUGGGCGCAAGCCUGAUCCAGCCAUGCCGCGUGAGUGAAGAAGGCCCUCGGGUUGUAAAGCUCUUUUGUCCGGAAAGAAAAGCGCCGGGUUAAUACCCUGGUGUCCUGACGGUACCGGAAGAAUAAGCACCGGCUAACUUCGUG